Molecule: long non-coding RNA, 2110 nt
Filed under: Rattus norvegicus (Norway rat)
Lineage: Eukaryota; Metazoa; Chordata; Mammalia; Rodentia; Muridae
Description: long non-coding RNA NONRATT015474
Source: RNAcentral
AAUUUUCUUGCAAGUUCCAGCUUCCUCUACAUCUCAUUGGCCUAAAUUGGAAUGUGACCACCUUCGGCAGGGAGACAAUAUAAUGUUCAUUAAACCAACUGUAUUUUAUUAUUUUAUGGGGAUGUUUUACUGUCUUUAUGUUUGUAUACCACAUGCAUGCCUAGUGCCUGCGGAGGCUGGAAGAAGUCAUUUAUUCCCUGGGAAUGUAGUUAAAGGUGGUUAUGAAGUGCUGUGUGGUGCUGGGAAUUGAACCCAGGUCCUUUAGAAGAGCAUCCAAUGCUCUAAACCUCUGAACCACAUCUCUAAACCCCAUAGUCGUCAUAAUUAGCUUAUAUUCUUUAAGUGCUAGGUAUAUUGCUGACUCGAAUAGGUUGAGUUUCUUAUAUAAAAGGGAAACCUGACCAUGAGUUGGGGAGAACUUUAGGAUGCCUUUGUUAUACUACACUAUGUAUGAAGUGUGAAAGUGAAGGAUCGAGUGUGUGACAUAGUUAUGCAUAGUGUUCCCUUUGGGAUUUCCCAGGCUUCGUGGCUGAAAGCCUCUUUCUAAGUCUGUAUCUGCCAUGUGAUGGUCCCAGCCCAGGCAUAGAUGCUGUGAAGGAAGUGUGGGCUCACAUUCAGAAUGGUCCUACAGCUGAAAUUCUUACUGUAUUCCUUGUUGGUCUUUCCACCAAGUGCCUCACUCUUCCUGCCCUGGGUCCUGGUACUCUCCUGCCGAAUGGUGCAUGUUACAUAGACCAGCUAGGUGAAAGACACGUUUGCCUCUGCCUUCUACUAACCUCCCCUUUUCUCUCUCUCCUCCUGUUUCUCCUUUCCUCUUCCCCUCUCUGUUGCUGCUGCAGAGCGUCUCUACAGCCAACUUGAGCGAAACCGCCUGCUUUCUAAUGAGCUGAAGCUAACGCUGCAUGGUCUUUGUGACUGACGGGCAGGGCUCCCUGAUGCCCAGUAAACCCACACCACUGACCUGGACCCAGCCAAAAGCUGACUGCCUUUUAAAAAGUCACUGUUCGCCCUAAGCAAGUUGCUUUUUAAUGAGGGCAGCUAGACUACUGUUGAUUUCCUGGCAGCCCCCUUCAAGUUGCAAUGGCUAUUUCUAUUCUAGAAGAGAUUGUGGGUGAUGAAGAUGGGGCCUGGGAGGUUUAGUGCGGAACUUGGAAACCGUUAGCUGCAGCCCUCUCACCUGUAUACUGACUGUAGGGUUUGCUCACCUGCAUGGUUAUUUUCUAACAAUAAAAACACUGACUUGACAAGAUGUUGUAGCUGCUUCAUCUGCAGGCCCAGGGACGGGCUCUUCUGACUGGGUGGAAAUGGGGAUGGGAAAGACGGGUGUGUGCUGUGAAAAUGGCCUGAUUUGCGCGUUUUCUUCCCUGAAGCUCUGUGGUUUACUUGCUAAGCAGGUGAAUGCUUGGUGUCCCUCCACUGGCUUUCUUCCUGAUAGUUUUCCUUCUUGCUGCUUUUGUGUUUAGUUGUAAGUCACUGUCUGGGUCAGCUCUGUUAAUAACUCUGCUAAAAUCUCAAUGGGGUUCUACUUAACAAGAAUGCACCUGGGUAGUAUUCCUGACUUAAACCUGAGGGCUCCUGUCCUCCCCACUUUGAAGAAGGUACCUACUGUAGGAGGAUCUUGUGCUCUUUACCUGAGAUUUUGAUCUGUCCUUGUCUGCUGUGGUCUUACUCUACUGUAGCAUUUCAAGUAGGUAAUGACCUUCGGACAGAGCCAAAGAGUGGGUGGGUGCCUGGUGCUUUCUGCCGGAUCCUCUGGAGACUGAAAGCUGAAUACCUUUUGGUUGCUUGUGGGAGGGAGAGGAAAUGAUAGAUAAGCCCAGUUCCCUCCCCCAGGUAGUAGAGAAAGUCCUUGGCUUUCAAUAAGCAAGCCGGAGGUGCCACCGAACCCAGGGGUGUGGUAGCUGCCUCCUGUAACUUUUUUGCAACUGGAACAAGUCUCAGAAUGGGGAGAACUUGGAACCUUGUAUAACGCUCUUCUUUAUUAUUCCCACUAGAUAAGCUGAAGUGCACCAAAGAGGAGCAUCUCUGUACACAAAGGAUGCUGGACCAGACCCUGCUGGACCUGAACGAGAUGUAGACCUUCCCCAUCCCUGCCCUGCCCUGCGGCCGC